CUCGUGCAGAUAUAUAUCUCUUCUCUUCUUCUUCUGAUGCCAUUUUCGUUUUCCCUCUUCUCACGCUCAGAUGAAAAGAACUGAGGUUUAGCAGCAUUGCCCAUCUGAUGCCAUUUUCUUGACCAUCUUCAAUGUCGAUUAACUUCAUGAGUGAUGACAGGAAGCAAAUUGGAAAGUAGGGCAAUUGAAAUGGGGACAAGAAGCGGUUCCUUUGGAAUGGGAUAGGUUUUGACCCUGUAAUGUUGACUCCGUGGAGUGAUGAAAAUCCAGGAAGAAGGUCUUUGUGUUGCAAGUUUUGGAAGGUGAACUGGACUGCUGAAUACCCUCCAUGCCUCCCAUGUAUGACAUCCUCAUAUGCUCAUCAAGCAUCUAAAACAACAUAUACAAGCACAUAAAUACUUUCCAAUAAGUUUUACUGUAUAUUUGUGUUUUUAAGCUAUACUUACAUGAACAUAAGUAAUUUCACUUUCUCAAACCCUUUGUAGGCUUAUGAUAUUUCUCUUUGUAUAGGAGCCUCCAUAGUGGGUGCCCCUUUCCUGUUUGCAUGAGCUAUUUCAUUCA
This is a non-coding RNA of Punica granatum (pomegranate), 561 nucleotides long. NCBI's taxonomy places the organism in Eukaryota, Viridiplantae, Streptophyta, Magnoliopsida, Myrtales, Lythraceae. The record is from RefSeq and is a predicted model, not a curated record.